AACCUCCGCAAUGUGAGAAAUCGCGACGGGGGGAUCCCAAGUGCCAUUCUUAACGGGAUGGCUUUUCAUUAGUGUAAAGAGCUUUUGGAAUAAGAGCUGGGCAAGACCGGUGCCAGCCGCCGCGGUAACACCGGCAGCUCUAGUGGUAGCAAUUUUUAUUGGGCCUAAAGCGUCCGUAGCCGGUUUAAUAAGUCUCUGGUGAAAUCCUGCAGCUUAACUGUGGGAAUUGCUGGAGAUACUAUUAGACUUGAGAUCGGGAGAGGUUAGAGGUACUCCCAGGGUAGAGGUGAAAUUCUGUAAUCCUGGGAGGACCGCCUGUUGCGAAGGCGUCUAACUGGAACGAUUCUGACGGUGAGGGACGAAAGUUAGGGGCGCGAACCGGAUUAGAUACCCGGGUAGUCCUAACUGUAACGAUGCGGACUUGGUGUUGGGUGGGCUUUGAGCUGCUCCAGUGCCGAAGGGAGCUGUUAAGUCCGCCGCCUGGGAAGUACGGUCGCAAGACUGAAACUUAAAGGAAUU
Molecule: ribosomal RNA, 519 nt
Filed under: uncultured bacterium
Lineage: Bacteria
Description: bacterial SSU rRNA
Rfam family: Archaeal small subunit ribosomal RNA
Source: RNAcentral